AAUAAAAAACUGUAAAUGAUAUGUGCUUUACAGAGGAAAACAAAGACAGCUUGACUGUAGCACGUUUCACUAGCGGCAAUGUAGAAAUAAUGAAGCCUCUCAAAGUAACUGAAACUCAUGUGAUAAUUGACAUCAGAGAUCUCUCCCACUUUGGCCUCUUAAAAAGGAUCAUCUUUCCUCCUUCCCCUGUCAUUGCCCAAGUACUUCUCUUUCUACGACCUAUAACUGAGAGACAGAGUGAAAACAUACUGGAUGUCCAUUUGCUCCCAUGGAACGUUCCACUGUCAAAGGUAAAGGACCAGCACACGGAAAAUACACACAUCAAAACCAGUUCAAAAUGUUCACUUACUCCAGAAUCAGAAUACUGUCUUUGUUGUCAACCAGAAGAAUCUACAGUGCAGCCAGCGUCAGAGACGUUUGAGUGUAAUUAUGGUCCAAACUAUCAUCCCACAUUUGAAGUGUUUGUGGAUGU
Long non-coding RNA from Cyprinus carpio (common carp), 472 nucleotides. RefSeq lists it as uncharacterized. NCBI's taxonomy places the organism in Eukaryota, Metazoa, Chordata, Actinopteri, Cypriniformes, Cyprinidae. The record is from RefSeq and is a predicted model, not a curated record. The transcript has 3 exons.